CAAAAUGGAGCUUAACUAAAGCAUCUCGCUUACACCGAGAACAUGUCCGUGAACUCAGAUCAUUUUGAG
Molecule: transfer RNA, 69 nt
Filed under: Microhyla fissipes (ornate chorus frog)
Lineage: Eukaryota; Metazoa; Chordata; Amphibia; Anura; Microhylidae
Description: tRNA-Val
Source: RNAcentral